CAUUAGAACAGCAUUAUAUGAAGUCUUCAAAGCUUCAUCCAGAGUUAAAAGAUCUUUCUUGAGAAGACCAUCAGUGUCAAUAACUAUACAAACAGUUGCAUGCUUUUGAAGUUUGUCAAUCAAAUCCGUGACCUCAUCAUAGCGCCUUCGUCCUUCAAAGCUGAAAGGUUUCAGAAUGAUGCCGACCGCUAGUCCAUUUCUGGACUUUAAUUUCCUUAUAAUAUCAAG
RNAcentral lists this unclassified non-coding RNA (228 nucleotides) under Hevea brasiliensis (rubber tree). The record is from RNAcentral. Lineage: Eukaryota; Viridiplantae; Streptophyta; Magnoliopsida; Malpighiales; Euphorbiaceae.